AUACGGAGGGUGCAAGCGUUACUCGGAAUCACUGGGCGUAAAGCGCGCGCAGGCGGCUAUUUAAGUUGGAUGUGAAAGCCUACGGCUCAACCGUAGAACUGCAUCCAAAACUAUUUAGCUAGAGUGUGGGAGAGGAAGAUGGAAUUAGUUGUGUAGGGGUAAAAUCCGUAGAGAUAACUAGGAAUACCAAAAGCGAAGGCAAUCUUCUGGAACACUACUGACGCUGAGGCGCGAAAGCGUGGGGAGCAAACGGGAUUAGAGACCCUAGUAGUCC
RNAcentral lists this ribosomal RNA (274 nucleotides) under uncultured bacterium. Its description in RNAcentral is "partial 16S ribosomal RNA". It matches the Rfam family "Bacterial small subunit ribosomal RNA", at positions 523 to 796 of the family's 1533-position model. The record is from RNAcentral.